AUUAAGACUGGUUCUAACUUGCAGUCCUAUCCCUCUUUCUCAGUUCCUUAUCAACCUUCACAAAUUCUAUGCUUGGUCUCAGCCCAAAGGUGAAGACUGAGCAUAAUUGUUUCAGGUAUUUGAUUUAUCGGACCACUGGAAAAGUACUUUACCCAGAUACUCCAAUCAGAAUUUUGCAUUCAAGUAACUAUUGCAUAGAUUUGGCUAGAAACUUUGAAUUUGGCUUGAUUUCUAAAUUUCCCUGCCAUCCAUGCAACAAGCCAAGUUUGAAGAAAAUUAUACUAGUCAGGGGCGCUGGAACAAUUUGUAUAGUGGGAGUGCUGAGAGCCAUUGAACCAAACUGUAAACCCUAUAUAUAAUGGAAACCACUUCAAGCCAGGGGGUGCGGCACCACUAGUUCUAGCACCUGUGAUACUAGUAGUUUUAAAGUCCCCAUCUCAAACAUGAACAUAAAAUUUCCCUAUGCUGUUUUUCAGGCACCAAUAAAGCAGACUAUUAGCUACUGUGCUUUAUGGCGGUCCCUCACAGAUGAAAGGAUGGCUCGUUACACAAAGAAGAAAGGAAAGGGAACCAAGAGUGACAAAUGCUGACCCAUGUACACCCAUGCAACCCCAGUUAAGUCAAUGAAACAGAUCCACAUUGGCUUUCACUUGAGGAACCAGCAGUGCUGGGGAAAGGACCAGAUGGACAACAUUAGGGAUUGCCAUCCUCUUUCUCUGCACGCAAUGGGGAUUAGCAUGGGCAGCAGCAAUGCAAGCUACCUUAACACUGCCCCCUUCCAGCCACCAGCGGCACCCUCGACCUUGCACUGAAAGGACUUCUUGGGGUGAAGACAGCUGUUGAGGCUGGGAUUUGCAAAGAUGCCUAAGGAAGUUAGGCCUUAAAUCUUCCUUGUGUCUGUAAAAAGGGGACAAUGCCUACCUCACAGGAAUGUUGUGGGGAUUAUUUCCCGCUGGCUAAGCUCUUUUAAAGACAUAAUGAGCUCUCUAAUUGCUAAUCAUUAUUAUAUCAUGCUUUGAAAUUAAUCCCAGCAGGUUGGAACACCCUGCACACAUAUCAAAGGGGAUCGCGCAUCUGUGCUGUAAGCGCUCUUUCUUAAGCCCUUCGUACGCUGCCUGAGAACAACACUGCCAGUGUAUUCUGUGCAACCUAAACCCCCAUUAUAUAACCAGCAAAACACAGCCCGUUGUUGGUGCUGCUCCUCAAUGAAAAUAACAUCAUGAGGUUCUUUUACCCAGCUUCCUCAAACAGUUUUGACCCCCAUCUCACAUUCUGCAGUCUCAGGGGUAGGGAAAUGGAUCCAAAAGGUCUGGAUUGCAACGGAGGCAAUCACAGGUCUCCUCUGCUGGCUGGGGAGUUGAAGCUUAGUGUUUUCACUAAUGCUGCAGGGCUGUGAGCUCGCCUGCAUUUGGGAUGUGGGUCCAACUCCUAGUGAAGUCAAUGGAAGGCUCUUUUUGACAUCAGUGGGAGUUCGGUUGGGCCCCUGGAGGGAGACACUAGGAAAUUCACUCAGUCACCCUCAAACACAUUCCACUUCCAGGCGCAGGACCAAUGUACUGUUUCCCAUCCCAGUAGGCCUAGCAAGGGGAGAGAGGCAAUGGAGGAGAGAAAUGUUGACAGAGAGGGUUGAACACUGAAGGCAAAAAUAGAUAGAGACCAAAAGGCCAAAUCAGAAAAGAAAAUAGUUUGAAGAGAGUCAGACAGAGAGUUGAGAUAAGAAAAUGAACUGCGACAUUUUAAAAAAAUGUAAAAUGUCAAUUAUAUUAGUUAGAGGGAAACACAAACACUGAACAAAGAUUGAAUUCUGGAAACAUUCAAAACUAGGUCAACACUUUACACUGGGUUAAUAAUUGAUUAAUAGAUGUUUUAGAUUACAGAAUCUUUGUUAUAGAUUGUUACAGAAUCCAACAGGCCAAUAGGCUGCUUAUUGUAUAGCUUAUAACAUCUCCCUCUGAGGUGUUUAUAACUGUCCACAACACAUAUUACGCAUAUCUGUAAUAUGCUUAUACCGUCUAUUCCCAAUUCUUAACCAUUUAUAAGUGGAAACAAUAUAAAUUGUGACUAAAAUGGAUUAUCUAGAAGAGCCCUUGGAAAGAGAACAGUGCUUCAUGCCAGGUUUGAAUUGUCUUCUUCACAACUAUAAAGACUAGAGACUUAUUUAUCCUAAACAACUCUGUCAAUACUUUCUGCCCUAAUAUUGCUGUGCACUGCUGAAAAGCUGCUGUGUGCCAAACCAGAGCUGGCUUCGAUGCAGUGAAGUGAUGAUGAUUAUUACAGUGUUUGUGGUGGAGAGUAGGGGUUGGAAGGCAGCUAACUAGAUCAGAUGAAAGGAGAGAGAGAUGGGAGGUCUUUUAGCUGGUAAGGGCCCAAUCCAAAGCCUGCAGAAGUGAAAGGAAAAUCUCUCAUUGACUUCAGUAGGCACUGGACGAGGCCCUUAUGCCAUGAUUUUAUAGUUCAGAGAAGGGGGGAGGGGGAGAGAGAGGUGAGGUAAUAUCGUUUAUUGGACCAACAUCUGCUGGUGAGAGAGACAAGCUUUGGAGAUACACUGAGCUCUGCGUCAGGGCUGGGAAAUGUACUCCCAGUGAGGCGUGGAGUGCCUUCCUCGGGUCUGCAGAAGAGUUCUAUGCGCUUCGAAAGCUUCUCUCUCACGCACAGAAGUUGGUCCAAUAAACAAGAUUAUCUUGCCCACCUUGCCUGUCUAAAUUCUGGGACCAACGUGGCUACAACCCCACUGCAUAUGCUGAUUCAGACCAGUUUGAUAGUGAGGUGCCCAUCAGAACCCUAAAUUGAGGGUAGCGCAGAGAAAGCAUUUGGCAAAUCAGUGUUAACAGAAGGCUCCACCUUUUUUAGUCACUCUCUAGUGCUCCCACACUGGCUGCAUGCUUCACAGAUAAAUACGCUGAUAGAUCUUUCGCAGUGCUACCGUGGUGGUCAUGAGAAAAAGCCCCCGGCUUCACAUCUACAAAGGAGCAGCAGUACAGAAACAUGCCCUGUAUGUUCAUCUCUCUCUCCAUACGGUGUCUUGUGCUGGAUGCAUCAUGAAAGACACUAUAUACUGCAAACGUCUGUAGUACUACAUGCCUUACAACAGCUUUUAUGUCUAAAGGAAUGGGUGAGCUGAGUGUGUAAUUUUUAUCCAUAUGUGAAUACUUCCAAGAAAUCUUCCUAUACCUCUUACUAAAAGUGCAGGCUUGCUCGCCCCAAACAUUUCCAAACAUAUUUGCCCUGGUAGAAGAGCUAGAGUCUUCUGUCCUUCCUGAGGCUGUCACAAGAGUUAAUUGAUUAAUAAUUGUAAAUCACUUUGAAACCAUUAAGUGCUGUAUAAGUGAUACAUUAAUAACCAGCACCACCACCACAAUGCACUAGCUAAAGGGAGCAGCGUGAGUGAUAAGUUCAGUGGCACAGAGAUAACACAGAAAGAUUAAAUGACCCACAACGAGAACCCUGGCAGGAUUUCUCAGCAAUGGAGCUGGGGCCACAGCUGGCAGGUAUAGGAAAUACAUUGCUGCUCACCAGGCCUUCGGAUAACUUAGUCUCCAUCACAGCAAAACACACAACUCUGAUGUACAAACAUUCAAACAACCCCAACCCACCUAGACAGGACUUGUUUUUGAUUUUUGAGUAAAAGUUUCUUACCUU
Molecule: non-coding RNA, 3639 nt
Organism: Chrysemys picta bellii (western painted turtle)
Lineage: Eukaryota; Metazoa; Chordata; Testudines; Emydidae
Source: RefSeq, a predicted model, not a curated record